Molecule: ribosomal RNA, 443 nt
Filed under: uncultured bacterium
Lineage: Bacteria
Description: partial 16S ribosomal RNA
Rfam family: Bacterial small subunit ribosomal RNA
Source: RNAcentral
CCUACGGGUGGCAGCAGUGGGGAAUAUUGGGCAAUGGGCGCAAGCCUGACCCAGCAACGCCGCGUGAAGGAAGAAGGCUCUCGGGUUGUAAACUUCUUUUAUCAGGGACGAAGCAAGUGACGGUACCUGAUGAAUAAGCCACGGCUAACUACGUGCCAGCAGCAUCGGUAAUACGUAGGGGGCAAGCGGUAUCCGGAUUUACUGGGGGUAAAGGGCGUGUAGGCGGGAAAGCAAGUCAGAUGUGAAAACCAUGGGCCCAACCUGUGGCCUGCAUUUGAAACUGUUUUUCUUGAGUACUGGAGAGGCAGACGGAAUUCCUAGUGUAGCGGUGAAAUGCGUAGAUAUUAGGAGGAACACCAGUGGCGAAGGCGGUCUGCUGGACAGCAACUGACGCUGAGGCGCGAAAGCGUGGGGAGCAAACAGGAUUAGAUACCCGAGUAGUC